CCUACGGGAGGCAGCAGUGGGGAAUUUUGGACAAUGGGCGCAAGCCUGAUCCAGCAAUGCCGCGUGAGUGAAGAAGGCCUUCGGGUUGUAAAGCUCUUUUGUCAGGGAAGAAACGGUGGAGGUUAAUACCUUCUGCUAAUGACGGUACCUGAAGAAUAAGCACCGGCUAACUACGUGCCAGCAGCCGCGGUAAUACGUAGGGUGCAAGCGUUAAUCGGAAUUACUGGGCGUAAAGCGUGCGCAGGCGGUUGUGCAAGACAGAUGUGAAAUCCCCGGGCUCAACCUGGGAAUUGCAUUUGUGACUGUACGGCUAGAGUGUGUCAGAGGGGGGUAGAAUUCCACGUGUAGCAGUGAAAUGCGUAGAGAUGUGGAGGAAUACCGAUGGCGAAGGCAGCCCCCUGGGAUAACACUGACGCUCAUGCACGAAAGCGUGGGGAGCAAACAGGAUUAGAUACCCUGGUAGUCCACGCCCUAAACGAUGUCUACUAGUUGUCGGGUCUUUAUUGUACUGUACGUCGAGCGUACGCGUGAGUAGACCGCCGUCGGGUAGGUACGGUUCGCGAGAGUUAAACGUAACGAAGAGAGUUAGACGGCGNGAGACGNGCGACGGACGACGACGAGGGAGGAGG
This 629-nucleotide ribosomal RNA is filed under the name uncultured bacterium. RNAcentral's name for it is "bacterial SSU rRNA". The stretch from base 1 to 541 matches the Rfam family "Bacterial small subunit ribosomal RNA", at positions 338 to 873 of the family's 1533-position model. The record is from RNAcentral.